GGAGAUGUGGGUGGAGGCAAAUCCCACCAGGAAUGGGGGAAUGCCAAGCCCCACACAGCAGCAGCACCACAGAUACCAAACAGCCAAGUGGCACCAAUGAAAGCCCCAAAUCAACAGCAGCACCAAUCACAGGGCCAGCAGCCACCAGGAGGACCCAUUCAGGGUGGGUGGAACAGCCGGUCUAAUGUUGGAGGUGGAGGCCCACAAUCCAAGAAUCAGAACCAAAGUUCAGGCUGGACAUCUGGCCCAAUACCCCAAAUUCCUGGGGGUGGGGGUGAUUCCCUUGAACCCAGUGGCUGGGAAGAACCAUCCCCUCAGUCGAUUAGUCGUAAAAUGGAAAUUGAUGAUGGCACUUCGGCCUGGGGAGACACCAACCCGCUACAACAGCAAGAAUGUCAACUUGUGGGACCAAAAACACUGCAACUCCUGGCCAAAGCCACAGUCAGCAGGCCCCACCACCAACAAUGCAGCAACAGCCACCACGAAGACAACAGGGGCAGCACAACAGGGACAUUAACUCUGGCAAUGCAUCUGCAGGCCCAGGUAUGUGGGGAGGAGGUACGCAGUCUGCGGAUAAUGGUACAGCUGCUUGGGGCCAGACUACGGAUGCAGCGACAGGUUGGGGUGACCCAGAUGAACCCAGCAAAGUUUCAGGCUGGGGAAACCCGUCUCCCAAUCCUGGUAAACCUGGCACCAAAUCAAUGGAAAACUGGGGUGGGAAGGGAGAUGGUUCCGUGA
This 738-nucleotide long non-coding RNA is filed under the name Sphaeramia orbicularis (orbiculate cardinalfish). RNAcentral describes it as "lncRNA (ENSSORG00005009129.1)". The record is from RNAcentral. Lineage: Eukaryota; Metazoa; Chordata; Actinopteri; Kurtiformes; Apogonidae.